This is a long non-coding RNA of Cucumis melo (muskmelon), 481 nucleotides long. RefSeq lists it as uncharacterized. Lineage: Eukaryota; Viridiplantae; Streptophyta; Magnoliopsida; Cucurbitales; Cucurbitaceae. The transcript has 4 exons. The record is from RefSeq and is a predicted model, not a curated record.
CUAAUAUUCACAUUUUGAAAAUAAACUCAGCAUUCCUCUCAAACUUGUAUAAUUGAUUCUUAGCAAGCAGAGCAGAGCGUACAAGAGUCGACCACAACUUUUGAAGAAUUAGCAAGAGUUCAGGAAAUAUAUACCACUCACUUCAAAGUUUAAAGAACCCAUUUGAAGUAAAGCUCCAAAUUUCGUACAAGUGAUAGUACCUGAGAUCUCAACAAGAGGCUACAAUAUAGUACACAAAGUCUUUUAAAGUGAGGUCUAUACUUGAUGAACACUCAUAAUGGAUAACUGAUGUUCGCUUUAGCCCAAGGACAUUAAAGGAUCGCAACACUUCAGGUGAUGGGACUGUCAAGGUUUGGGAUGUUGAUAAACAUGGCCAAUCACUUCAGACUUUCACCCUAGUAAAGAUGAUCUCAUUUGUGCUCUUCUGAUAAGUAUCGAGAUCAGGUACUGGAACAUUAAAAGUGGUAGUUGUGUUGGCAUU